Long non-coding RNA from Harpia harpyja (harpy eagle), 697 nucleotides. RefSeq lists it as uncharacterized. NCBI's taxonomy places the organism in Eukaryota, Metazoa, Chordata, Aves, Accipitriformes, Accipitridae. The transcript has 2 exons. The record is from RefSeq and is a predicted model, not a curated record.
CAGCUGCUGGGGGAAAUGCCCCCAGAUGCAGUCGCUCUGUCCCUAGGGAUGAAGGCUGGCAGAGGAAGGUGCUGUAGGGGCCUGGGUUUGCUCGUGGAGAGGGAGGGGGAGCGUUGUUGGGGGGCCACUGGAAAGCUGGGAGUCCUGCAGCACUUGGGACAAUGUUUUCUCGUCUUUCUACAAAAGGAAGAACAACAUUAAAUCCCUGCUCUGACUCCAUGAGUGUUUAUCUGAUCUAAAGAGUUCAGAAGUUGUGUCCACCUUCACAUUACAAAAUUCCUGUCUGCAUGACGGGAUUUCUUACCUCAGGUUCUCUUUUUUCAGCAGGGAGGUAACGUUCCUACUACUGCAUGUGUGUUUCUCUUAAAUCCAGAGGUGCAUUCUCUCAUGGAUUGUGAAUUUAACUGGAAAUGAUGUGGCUGAGCUUGAAGGUUCUGGAGAGUGGAAGACUUAACAUGCUUGUUCCCACUUCAAAAGAAAGAUGCCUGCUGCCUUUCCCUGGCGCGUGUGGAAUAAACUUGGCGUGCUUAUAAGUCUUUAAAGAGAUGAGUGAUCCCAGCCAAGUUUGAGAAAGGCAGGAGGAGGAAAUGUUUUAAGUUUAAAACUCAUUAAAGCUGAGCUGAACUGUUAAUCCUUUAAGAUGCAGCUAAUGGAACUAGUCUGUAUGCAAAUUAAACCUCUGGGUCUCCACAUUUUU